GGGGAUUUAGCUCAGUUUGGCAGAGCAUCUGAUUUGCACUCAGAAGGUCGUGGGUUCGAACCCCAUAGUCUCCACCA
Molecule: transfer RNA, 77 nt
Filed under: Mycoplasma parvum str. Indiana
Lineage: Bacteria; Bacillati; Mycoplasmatota; Mollicutes; Mycoplasmatales; Mycoplasmataceae
Description: tRNA-Ala (TGC) (tRNA-Ala-TGC-1-1)
Rfam family: tRNA
About the family: Transfer RNA (tRNA) molecules are approximately 80 nucleotides in length. Their secondary structure includes four short double-helical elements and three loops (D, anti-codon, and T loops).
Source: RNAcentral